Molecule: ribosomal RNA, 381 nt
Filed under: uncultured bacterium
Lineage: Bacteria
Description: bacterial SSU rRNA
Rfam family: Bacterial small subunit ribosomal RNA
Source: RNAcentral
UGGGGAAUAUUGCACAAUGGGCGCAAGCCUGAUGCAGCAACGCCGCGUGAGGGACGACGGCCUUCGGGUUGUAAACCUCUUUUAGUAGGGAAGCGGUACCUGCAGAAAAAGCACCGGCUAACUACGUGCCAGCAGCCGCGGUAAUACGUAGGGUGCAAGCGUUAUCCGGAAUUAUUGGGCGUAAAGAGCUCGUAGGCGGUUUGUCACGUCUGCUGUGAAACUGGAGGCUCAACCUCCAGCCUGCAGUGGGUACGGGCAGACUAGAGUGCGGUAGGGGAGAUUGGAAUUCCUGGUGUAGCGGUGGAAUGCGCAGAUAUCAGGAGGAACACCGAUGGCGAAGGCAGAUCUCUGGGCCGAACUGACGCUGAGGAGCGAAAGCGU